UGUUCUAACUGAUCUUUUAAUUCAAAUCCAAAUAAGACAAACAUGUGAAAUGAUGACUUAUAGUCAGAUCUCCUGGUAGAAAAACUGCGAUGGAAUUUUUAUGAGAAUGGAUCUUUCCUUGACAGAUUUCCAGAGCUUCAUGUUUUUUUCAUCCAGGUUGAAAAUAAUUCAUCUUCUUAUUCAACAUUGUUGCAUCUGGUCCUGGCUUAAGAAUUAGGUGAAAAAGUGCGCAAUAACAGAUGGUGCGCAAUAACAACAAUAAUUUGAAGAUUUAUUUAUUUCCAACUUCUGAUUGUGAUGCAGGUUUCUGUGGCUUGCCCCACCGGCAGCUCUGACAGCUGUUGCAAAAUAGGAAGAUUCAGUCUCUUUCACCAUUAUUUCACCCCAGUAUACAUGGGACCCUGGGACCACGUGUGGAGGUAG
This 423-nucleotide long non-coding RNA is filed under the name Anas platyrhynchos platyrhynchos (common mallard). RNAcentral's name for it is "lncRNA (ENSAPLG00000022125.1)". The record is from RNAcentral. Lineage: Eukaryota; Metazoa; Chordata; Aves; Anseriformes; Anatidae.